This 474-nucleotide microRNA precursor is filed under the name Paramuricea clavata. Lineage: Eukaryota; Metazoa; Cnidaria; Anthozoa; Malacalcyonacea; Plexauridae. The record is from RNAcentral.
UCGGGCUAUUUGCCAACUGAGCGCGCUAGCCGUUGUUAUUUCGACAGAAUAUGAUACCUCUACACUUUUCAGCCGUAAUACAUAAUGCGCGGAUCAGUGUAAUCAUGCAUAUAUAUAUAUCGUUUAAUUUAGCUUCAAAAACUUAUUUUGUUAAAUGUAAAAUGCGCAGCAUGUUGCGUACAUUAAUAUCAAAGAAAAAAGGUUGACUUCAUUAGACUGAAAUAAGAUUUCCCGUUACAUACAUUAGUUAUACCGAGGCGGCUUUGCAUGUGCUCUGCCUCUGGCAACCGUAUGAUACCAUUGCGCUCCGCGGGAACCAACACGAAUAACAUGUUUUUAUCAAGUUUUUGAAGCUAAAUUAAACGAUAUGUAUAUGAUUACAAUGCGCGCUGAAAAUUACGGCUGAAAAGUGUAGAGGUAUCAUAUUCUGUCGAAAUAACAGCGGCUAGCGCGCUCGGUUGGCAAUUAGCCCGA